Zea mays is the source of this 3196-nucleotide RNA transcript. RefSeq lists it as uncharacterized. The record is from RefSeq and is a predicted model, not a curated record. The transcript is spliced from 2 exons. Lineage: Eukaryota; Viridiplantae; Streptophyta; Magnoliopsida; Poales; Poaceae.
CCGAAGCCCACACUCCGGAACACCCAAUCGUCCCGUAGAACGCCGCCGCGACACCCUCUCUGUCGACCCGCUCUUCUAUUCUUGCUUAAUCCAAAUUCAAGCGUGUGCAUAACCUCUGGUGAACCGAUGAAGCUAACUCGUGCUUCAAUUUUAGCAGCCAUGCCGUUAGUCGUUCGGAACACGAUCACCAGGGUCGUCUCGCCGCCGUGACCAUGAACAAGCUCCAAUUAGGGUUGAAUCCUUCAAAUUAAGCGAGGGCUUUUGACCGAAUAGGUUAGCAUACCACGUUUAUGCAUUUAUUACCGCUUGUUCGGACCACCUUUGCCGUAGAAUCGCGGCUCUGGUCUGGUGUUCGCCGCGGUUCCGCCAUGGACCCGGGGUGGUAAAGAAACAGAAUUAGAGGGGGCUUUUUGUGAGGUGUCGGUGACUCAGGGAAUAACCCACUGGAUGCGGUUCAAGUUAUUUAAAACACUAAGGACCUUUUCGCAAGAUCAGAAACGCGGGCACGCGCGGGCACGCUGUAACACCCCUGGUGUUACGAGAACUAAAAAUUUGACAUUUCAUCAUAUGCACUUGCAUUAACUUGCUUGAUACACCUAGAAUGCAUUCACUAGGGUAACAAAUUUGCAAAAGGGUGAGGUUGUGUCGUUUCGAAGAGAGCAAGAGAAGUUCAGAGACCUUGUUUGAAAUCUAGUACAAGAAAACAAAUUUUAAACCAAUGGAAAUUUGUACAUGAGAUCUAUACACUAAAGUUGGGUUUGAACUUAAAGUUAACCUUGUUUUUAGUAGGAUGCAAUAAAUUGAUGAAAUGCUUGAAGCAGAUCAAGUCCAAUUUCAACUCUAAACUAGCCCAAAAGUGGAUUUUAAGAUUUAGCUAAGUUUUGCUAAAAGUCCAUAUAUCAAAGUUGUGGACACUUGGAAAAGUGAACAAUUUUCAUAUUUGGAGCUCUCCAAGUGAUGUGGGAGAAUUUGAAGUAAUUUGCAAAAAUUCAGAUUUGGGUCAGUUGGAAUCAACCCAAAGCAGUUUUGUUUAUCUGUUUUUGAAUCCCUGUAACUUUUAAUCCAUGAGUAUUUUGGAAACAGUUGUUAUAACAAACCUAUAGAGUAACUAUAGGAUAACAAUGUUUAUGAAAUGUGAUAGCCCUAAAACCAUAUGAAACUAGGAGAAAAACUGGUCCAAGCACGAGCUGAUAGAAAUUGUGGUUUUCAGACUUAGUGCAAUAACCUGAAUCUGAAUUUUAGUGUUGUGAGUGCAGUUUUGGAGCUUCUUUGUGCCUAAUCCAUAAGGUUUUGGACUGUAGGUUCUAUAAAAUAAUUGAAGACAAUAUAUUGGUGAACAAAUCUCUUUGAGAAGGUUUGGCUUGGGGAUUUAUGGAAAAUAGAGUGAAAGCUGUCCAAAAAUGGACUAUCAGUUUGCACUGACUGAAUUUUUGUUCAGAUUAGCUGAAAAUUGAAUUGCAGCAGGUUGCUCAGUUUGGAGCUGUUUUGUUAUCAAUAUGAGUGGUUUUAGACUGUAGUUUCUAUAGGAAACUUGGAGACCACAGUAUGGUGAAUACGUUUCAUAAGGUGAGAUUAACAUGGUGCUGCAUAAAAAGUAGAGUAAUUUUUGCCUAAAGAUCAGUUGUCAGGUGUUGGGGAUUUUCAGACAGUAAAACAUCUAAGUCUGAAUCUAUGUGUUUUUACCCACCUUUGGAGCUUUGUGGUAAUUAAACCAAGGAUAUUUGGGUUAAAAAUUCUAUAUAAAAAUGAAAUACCAUAUCAAGGUGAACAAGUCUCUUGAAGUGGGUGUGCCUUGGUGCUGUACAAAAUUGGGGGUAAAUUGUCUCAAAAUGUUCCUUAUCAGGUUCUUGUUUCAGAUAACUGAAACAGAAAGUUCAGUGAGUUUGGAGGGAUUUUGGGGCAUAGCAACUUUUGAUCUGUGUGCUUUUAACCCUGAAUUUCUAUAGUGAGUUGGUAGAGUUUUGUUUUGUGAGCAUACUUUGUUAGCCUUGGUUGACCUGUUGCCUUUGAAAAUAGUAAGAUAAAGGGGAGUGAAUCGGAAAGGUGCAGGUGGUCAGUGUGAGUUCAAACUCAUUAGGUUUGGAGCUUGGUUUAGUGAUCUAAGAAGAGACCAGUACGGAGCUUAUCCACUACUGCUAUGUUCCAGUUGCUGCCGGUUAGAUUGGGAUGUGGGUGAGUUUUGGCACCAGGGGUAAGCGAGUGUAUUAAGGUUCCAAAUAUCUACGCCUAGGAUGGACCUGAGCUUAUCCAAGACGGCACCCACCUUGCUUGUUGUCUCUGGUUUGACCACUACGAGCCCAAGUCUGUUGUUUCGUCGUGUACUGAUCCUGCGUGGUGCUUAUGUAAUAAAGUCGCGUGUCCAUGCUCGUGUAAGCUGUUGGUAGUGCUUGUAUGUAGUUCCCCCUGGGAUAAGCUUCACCGUGACCAGUGGGUGGACAAUCUUUGUUAUCUCUAUGUCGCCGUGACCAAACUCGCCUAAGGUGUUUCUCGGCCGUCUUCUAGUUUCUAGCCAACUCACCGACAUGUUUCCCAUGUCUGUGCCCCACGUUCGUGUAAAACCAGAUUACGCCGCUGUCCGAGACUGCCGUUUGUUGUCGUUGUCUUUGAAAUUGUGAUCACGCUGCCGGCGUCUCGCCCCUCCGUGGCCAGGACUUGGAGAACGCCGUGGCGCCGUCGGUGAACACCGUCUGGAAUGACCUCACCAUGGCGGACCUAGUCUGGAGCUGGUUGCGAGCACGCUCAUGGGUUGUUCCGCUUCGUGGUGAGCCACUGAUGCUACCCAGUUGCUGAUUGGAACUCUACUGCGUCGUGUUCCGUGUUGUUGUUGCCGGAGUUUGGCGUUGCAGCCAGCGCGCAGAGGGAGCGCGAAGCUGGAGCCUAAAGCCGAGAAGUUUUAUUCCCUUAUCUUUUGGUUAGUUACUUCAUGUGGAGGCCUUGAAGCUUAGAAUGUUUAUGUGUAUCUCUUAUGGAAAGGCUUCACCCUUCCAAUUAUUAUAAUAAGUUAUGCACUUUGGGUACUAUCAGGACUUGUAAUAAUUACAAUUCUUCUUAUGUUGUAAAACUUGAGCUUUGGAAAUGUAAAAUAUGUUUUGUAAAGUCUUCCGCUCUAUCUCCGAAGUGUUUGUAUCGAGUGUGAUUACUGUAAUAUGCAUGAAUGUGGGAGAUCCUUGGGAUAAUGAGUUCGAGUUGUUGAACU